This 445-nucleotide ribosomal RNA is filed under the name uncultured bacterium. RNAcentral describes it as "partial 16S ribosomal RNA". It matches the Rfam family "Bacterial small subunit ribosomal RNA", at positions 354 to 796 of the family's 1533-position model. The record is from RNAcentral.
GUGAGGAAUAUUGGUCAAUGGGCGGGAGCCUGAACCAGCCAAGUCGCGUGAAGGAAGAAGGAUCUAUGGUUCGUAAACUUCUUUUGCAGGGGAAUAAAGUGCAGGACGUGUCCUGUUUUGUAUGUACCCUGAGAAUAAGGAUCGGCUAACUCCGUGCCAGCAGCCGCGGUAAUACGGAGGAUCCGAGCGUUAUCCGGAUUUAUUGGGUUUAAAGGGUGCGUAGGUGGUUUGAUAAGUCAGCGGUGAAAGUUUGCAGCUUAACUGUAAAAAUGCCGUUGAAACUGUCGGACUUGAGUGUAAAUGAGGUAGGCGGAAAGCGUGGUGUAGCGGUGAAAUGCAUAGAUAUCACGCAGAACUCCGAUUGCGAAGGCAGCUUACUAAGCUACAACUGACACUGAAGCACGAAAGCGUGGGGAGCAAACAGGAUUAGAUACCCGAGUAGUCC